UCCUAGUUAACCUAGGCAGUCUCACUAGAGUCCCCACCUUGACGUGUUGGCAACUAAUGAUAAGGGUUGCGCUCGUUGCGGGACUUAACCCAACACCUCACGGCACGAGCUGACGACAGCCAUGCAGCACCUAUGCAGCGGUCCUUUCGGACGUUACCAUCUCUGGUAACUUCCCCUGCACUUCUAACCUGGGUAAGGUUCUUCGCGUUGCAUCGAAUUAAACCACAUGCUCCACUGCUUGUGCGGGCCCCCGUCAAUUCUUUUGAGUUUCACCCUUGCGAGCGUACUCCUCAGGCGGUAUACUUAUCGCGUUAGCUACGACACAGCCAGGGUUGAGCCCAGCUACAUCAAGUAUACAUCGUUUACGGCAAGGACUAC
RNAcentral lists this unclassified non-coding RNA (378 nucleotides) under uncultured Simkaniaceae bacterium. RNAcentral describes it as "contains 16S-23S intergenic spacer region". The record is from RNAcentral. Lineage: Bacteria; Pseudomonadati; Chlamydiota; Chlamydiia; Parachlamydiales; Simkaniaceae.